AUGGAUAAGACGGCGUCAAGUUCGGGUACGGCCAACUCCGAUCUUGAAGCUAUGAUGGCGGAACUAGGAUUGAAGGAGGACGAACUGCAUGAUGUGAUGGUGGAAGAAGCCGAGCUGAUGGCGGAGGCGACCCGAUGGAUGGCGAUUGCUAGGGUUCACACUGAUAAAAACUAUAGUCAGUAUUGGUUCUAUAAGAACCUGAGGGUAGCCUGGGAUUUGUCUCAGGAGGUGAAGAUCAGACCGCUCGAGGAUAAUCUUUACUCGAUGCAAUUUUCUUGCCUUGGUGAUUGGGAAAGAGUGAUGGAGGAUGGACCAUGGAACUUCAAAGGAAAAUCUGUUGUCCCGGCACCGUAUGACGGCUUCACAAAACCCUCGCUGAUUGAGUUAAACAAAAUUGAUAUAUGGAUUCAGAUCCAUGAUUUGCCAGAUGGUUUUUUCUCCAAAGUAAAGGCCUUGUCAGCAACAGUGGGCGAAUUCAUAUUUGCAGAACCGAAAUCACAUGACUUUUGA
Molecule: ribosomal RNA, 510 nt
Filed under: Triticum aestivum (bread wheat)
Lineage: Eukaryota; Viridiplantae; Streptophyta; Magnoliopsida; Poales; Poaceae
Description: partial small subunit ribosomal RNA
Source: RNAcentral